GAUGAACGCUGGCGGCGUGCCUAAUACAUGCCAGUCGAACGAAACUUCUUUAUCACCGAGUGCUUGCACUCACCGAUAAAGAGUUGAGUGGCGAACGGGUGAGUAACACGUGGGCAACCUGCCCAAAAGAGGGGGAUAACACUUGGAAACAGGUGCUAAUACCGCAUAACCAUAGUUACCGCAUGGUAACUAUGUAAAAGGUGGCUAUACUACCGCUUUUGUAUGGGCCCGCGGCGCAUUAGCUAGUUGGUAGGGUAAAGGCUUACCAAGGCAAUGAUGCGUAGCCGAAUUGAGAGGUUGAUCGGCCACAUUGGGACUGAGACACGGCCCAAACUCCUACGGGAGGCAGCAGUAGGGAAUCUUCCACAAUGGGCGAAAGCCUGAUGGAGCAACGCCGCGUGGGUGAAGAAGGUCUUCGGAUCGUAAAACCCUGUUGUUAGAGAAGAAAGUGCGUGAGAGUAACUGUUCACGUUUCGACGGUAUCUAACCAGAAAGCCACGGCUAACUACGUG
RNAcentral lists this ribosomal RNA (512 nucleotides) under uncultured bacterium. RNAcentral describes it as "partial 16S ribosomal RNA". It matches the Rfam family "Bacterial small subunit ribosomal RNA", at positions 28 to 507 of the family's 1533-position model. The record is from RNAcentral.